Long non-coding RNA from Clupea harengus (Atlantic herring), 493 nucleotides. The record is from Ensembl. Lineage: Eukaryota; Metazoa; Chordata; Actinopteri; Clupeiformes; Clupeidae.
GAGUAGUCUGAUUGUGUUGUGCUAGUUGUACAAUGUCACAAAGCUGCCAACAAUAUGCUACAACACUUGUUUUUGUAUCACAACUGCAGCAUGUAAAGGAGUCUUAUGACCAGCUGCGCAAUUCUCCUGGGACGGUUUCUGGCAAAUGCAUCCAGUUUUACAAGAAAGAUCCAAACCUCUUUGGAGGACUAAAAGUUUUGUUUUGGACAGGCACUCUGGGUAAAACUGCCAAGGACUCGAUGGUCCCCACAGCGAGAGAUCUGUGGUCAACAAUGCCCAGAGCACAGGGCCCGAACCAGAGACGUGCACAAAGACAAGUGGGUAAGCCAAGGUACGCUGAGGAUGAGGUAAUGAUUUAUAGCAAUUAUGCAAACAUUUACAAGAUAUGACACAAUCUCACACCCACCCCUCACUCAUCCUACCCCAACCACUCCACCCAAAACAGACACACAUUCAUUGCCUCUCUCCCUCACACACAUCCACCCUCUUUCAC